RNAcentral lists this small nucleolar RNA (107 nucleotides) under Gossypium barbadense (sea-island cotton). Its description in RNAcentral is "Plant small nucleolar RNA R71". It matches the Rfam family "Plant small nucleolar RNA R71". Rfam says of the family: R71 is a member of the C/D box family of snoRNAs containing the C (UGAUGA) and D (CUGA) box motifs. Multiple nearly identical copies of this snoRNA have been identified in Arabidopsis, and it is thought to function as a 2'-O-ribose methylation guide for 18S ribosomal RNA. RNAcentral also lists the same sequence under 1 other name. The record is from Rfam by way of RNAcentral. Lineage: Eukaryota; Viridiplantae; Streptophyta; Magnoliopsida; Malvales; Malvaceae.
AUGCCAUGAUGAGGGCACUUUCAUAAUAACUCCUUGAACUACUCUCAUGCCUCAUAUAAAGAUUCUUCAUCAGGUUGCUAAAAUGAAGUGAUUUCAUUUCAGAUCUU